This 756-nucleotide ribosomal RNA is filed under the name Salmonella enterica subsp. enterica serovar Thompson. Its description in RNAcentral is "partial 23S ribosomal RNA". It matches the Rfam family "Bacterial large subunit ribosomal RNA", at positions 1 to 688 of the family's 2925-position model. Lineage: Bacteria; Pseudomonadati; Pseudomonadota; Gammaproteobacteria; Enterobacterales; Enterobacteriaceae. RNAcentral also lists the same sequence under 2 other names. The record is from RNAcentral.
GGGUUGUGAGGUUAAGCGACUAAGCGUACACGGUGGAUGCCCUGGCAGUCAGAGGCGAUGAAGGGCGUGCUAAUCUGCGAUAAGCGCCGGUAAGGUGAUAUGAACCGUUAUAACCGGCGAUACCCGAAUGGGGAAACCCAGUGUGAUUCGUCACACUAUCAUUAACUGAAUCCAUAGGUUAAUGAGGCGAACCGGGGGAACUGAAACAUCUAAGUACCCCGAGGAAAAGAAAUCAACCGAGAUUCCCCCAGUAGCGGCGAGCGAACGGGGAGGAGCCCAGAGCCUGAAUCAGCAUGUGUGUUAGUGGAAGCGUCUGGAAAGGCGCGCGAUACAGGGUGACAGCCCCGUACACAAAAGCGCAUGUGCUGUGAGCUCGAUGAGUAGGGCGGGACACGUGGUAUCCUGUCUGAAUAUGGGGGGACCAUCCUCCAAGGCUAAAUACUCCUGACUGACCGAUAGUGAACCAGUACCGUGAGGGAAAGGCGAAAAGAACCCCGGCGAGGGGAGUGAAAAAGAACCUGAAACCGUGUACGUACAAGCAGUGGGAGCCCCACCACUAAGCCAGUGGUGAACUCCACAUACGCAUCCUUUGCUGAAGGCAAUGGUUAACGGAGCGAAAGCGACGUUCAACCGCAAAACAAGCAGAGGGGGCUUAGUGGUGGGGUGACUGCGUACCUUUUGUAUAAUGGGUCAGCGACUUAUAUUCUGUAGCAAGGUUAACCGUAUAGGGGAGCCGGAGGGAAACCGAGUCUUAAU